Molecule: ribosomal RNA, 707 nt
Filed under: Salmonella enterica
Lineage: Bacteria; Pseudomonadati; Pseudomonadota; Gammaproteobacteria; Enterobacterales; Enterobacteriaceae
Description: partial 23S ribosomal RNA
Rfam family: Bacterial large subunit ribosomal RNA
Source: RNAcentral
GACCGAUAGUGAACCAGUACCGUGAGGGAAAGGCGAAAAGAACCCCGGCGAGGGGAGUGAAAAAGAACCUGAAACCGUGUACGUACAAGCAGUGGGAGCACCCUUUGGGGUGUGACUGCGUACCUUUUGUAUAAUGGGUCAGCGACUUAUAUUCUGUAGCAAGGUUAACCGUAUAGGGGAGCCGGAGGGAAACCGAGUCUUAAUUGGGCGUUAAGUUGCAGGGUAUAGACCCGAAACCCGGUGAUCUAGCCAUGGGCAGGUUGAAGGUUGGGUAACACUAACUGGAGGACCGAACCGACUAAUGUUGAAAAAUUAGCGGAUGACCUGUGGCUGGGGGUGAAAGGCCAAUCAAACCGGGAGAUAGCUGGUUCUCCCCGAAAGCUAUUUAGGUAGCGCCUCGUGAAUUCAUCUCCGGGGGUAGAGCACUGUUUCGGCUAGGGGGCCAUCCCGGCUUACCAACCCGAUGCAAACUGCGAAUACCGGAGAAUGUUAUCACGGGAGACACACGGCGGGUGCUAACGUCCGUCGUGAAGAGGGAAACAACCCAGACCGCCAGCUAAGGUCCCAAAGUCAUGGUUAAGUGGGAAACGAUGUGGGAAGGCCCAGACAGCCAGGAUGUUGGCUUAGAAGCAGCCAUCAUUUAAAGAAAGCGUAAUAGCUCACUGGUCGAGUCGGCCUGCGCGGAAGAUGUAACGGGGCUAAACCAU